This 74-nucleotide transfer RNA is filed under the name Felis catus (domestic cat). It matches the Rfam family "tRNA". Rfam says of the family: Transfer RNA (tRNA) molecules are approximately 80 nucleotides in length. Their secondary structure includes four short double-helical elements and three loops (D, anti-codon, and T loops). RNAcentral also lists the same sequence under 4 other names. The record is from Rfam by way of RNAcentral. Lineage: Eukaryota; Metazoa; Chordata; Mammalia; Carnivora; Felidae.
ACCUGGCUGGCCCACUCGGUAGAGCAUGUGACUCUUGAUCUCAAGGUUUGUGGGUUUGAGCCCCAUGUUGGGUA